RNAcentral lists this ribosomal RNA (759 nucleotides) under Meloidogyne lopezi. RNAcentral's name for it is "eukaryotic LSU rRNA". It matches the Rfam family "Eukaryotic large subunit ribosomal RNA", at positions 344 to 964 of the family's 3401-position model. Lineage: Eukaryota; Metazoa; Nematoda; Chromadorea; Rhabditida; Meloidogynidae. The record is from RNAcentral.
ACAAGUACCGUGAGGGAAAGUUGCAAAGCACUUUGAAGAGAGAGUUAAAGAGGACGUGAAACCGGUAAGGUGGAAACGGAUAGAGUCGGCGUAUCAUUCAUGUAUUCAGUUACAUUAUUUUUAUGUUGUGACCUCUGAGCUCCAGAUUGGGACAGAGGGAAUCAGCAUAAUUUUUUGUGGUGCUUUUACUUGAUUGGUGCUUGGGGAUGUUUGAGGCAGAUUUGUUUCCGUCGUUUUGAGGCCAGCUUGCUGGUACCCAAACGGUGUUAGCAUUUUUUGUCUUGGGCAUUUGAGUAUGGCUCACGUGUAUUUAUUGGACAGAUCUGAGUGUAAGUUACGGUCGCAUGCGACACGUGCUUUUCAAUUAGUUCGGUCCAGUUAAUGCUCUCGUACUCGUUCCCCAUGUAAAAGCCGGUCAUCUAUCCGACCCGUCUUGAAACACGGACCAAGGAGUUUAUCGUGUGCGCAAGUUUUUGGGUGUUAAAAACUUAAAAGCGAAAUGAAAGUAAAUGACUCUUUAGAGUCUGAUGUGCGAUCUUGUAAAAAAGUGUAGCAUGGCCCCAUUCUAACUGUUUACAGUAGGGUGGCGGAAGAGCGUACGCGGUGAGACCCGAAAGAUGGUGAACUAUUCCUGAGCAGGACGAAGCCAGAGGAAACUCUGGUGGAAGUCCGAAGCGGUUCUGACGUGCAAAUCGAUCGUCUGACUUGGGUAUAGGGGCGAAAGACUAAUCGAACCAUCUAGUAGCUGGUUCCUUCCGA